RNAcentral lists this ribosomal RNA (253 nucleotides) under uncultured bacterium. RNAcentral describes it as "partial 16S ribosomal RNA". It matches the Rfam family "Bacterial small subunit ribosomal RNA", at positions 524 to 776 of the family's 1533-position model. The record is from RNAcentral.
UACAGAGGUCUCAAGCGUUGUUCGGAUUCACUGGGCGUAAAGGGUGCGCAGGUGGGCUGUCAAGUUUGAUGUGAAAGCCCCGGGCUUAACCCGGGAAUGGCAUUGAAUACUGAUGGUCUGGAGGAUUGGAGGGGGGACUGGAAUUCUUGGUGUAGCAGUGAAAUGCGUAGAUAUCAAGAGGAACACCAGUGGCGAAGGCGAGUCCCUGGACAAUUCCUGACACUGAGGCACGAAAGCCAAGGGAGCAAACAGG